This 464-nucleotide ribosomal RNA is filed under the name uncultured bacterium. Its description in RNAcentral is "partial 16S ribosomal RNA". It matches the Rfam family "Bacterial small subunit ribosomal RNA", at positions 338 to 795 of the family's 1533-position model. The record is from RNAcentral.
CCUACGGGCGGCAGCAGUAGGGAAUUUUUCACAAUGGGCGAAAGCCUGAUGGAGCAAUGCCGCGUGAAUGAUGAAGGUCUUAUAGAUUGUCAAAUGCUUUUAUUUGGGAAGAAAAACUAAUGUGGGAAAUUACUUUAGUCUAACUGUACCAUUUGAAUAAGUAUCGGCUAACUAUGUGCCAGCAGCCGGGGUAAUACAUAGGAUGCAAGCGGUAUCCGUAUUUACGGGCGAAAAACGAGCGCAGGGGGGUUAAAAAGUUUGGUAUGAAAGGCUUUUGCUUACUGGAAGUUUGUAUCAAAAACUGUUCAUCUAGAGUGUAGUAGCGAGUGCUGGAAUUCAAUGUGGAGCGGUGGAAUGCGUAGAUAUAUGGAAGAACACCAGUGGCGAAGGCGAGAACUUAGGCUAUCACUGACGUUUAGGCUCGAAAGUGUGGGGAGCAAAUAGGAUUAGAUACCCGAGUAGUC